Molecule: long non-coding RNA, 365 nt
Organism: Eriocheir sinensis (Chinese mitten crab)
Lineage: Eukaryota; Metazoa; Arthropoda; Malacostraca; Decapoda; Varunidae
Exons: 3
Source: RefSeq, a predicted model, not a curated record
CCCCCACCGGCCACGACACCCCCCACGACACCCCAGCCGUCCACGACACCCCCCACGCCACCCCUGCGGGCUACACCACCUCCGCCAGUCACGCCAUCCCUGAAAAGAGGCUAUGCAUUCAUAGGUGGCAGUAAAAGGGUAGCAGCUGGGGGUACCUCACCACCCCAGUGGAAGAAGUGCGCCAAGGCCUCUGUACCCUUACGACCCCGCACUUCGCCACCUCAGCCGGCUCCAACCCCUGCUCGGGGUUAUGAUUUAUUGGACUUGUCCAGCAACUCCACUUCAACCCCGAAAGCCAAGGAAGGCCCAGCCCAGGGAUGUGAGGAUGUGAGGGGCGUAUCUAAAUAAAAUGACAACAUUUGAUA